GCUGUGGGAACUCAUAUAUCAUACCAAUCAUUUAGUCAUUGUUUCAGGUAAUUAACUGUUUUUUUAUUGUGUUUACAUUAUUUUGUGUGCUCAUUGCGGACAUGUACUGAUGAGUAAGAUAAGAAAGUUUAAAGCUAACACAGGGGCAAUUGAUCACUGUGUCACAACGUAUAGAACAGAGACUCUCAGUAAAGAAAGGUUUUAGCUUAUGCCUAGAAGUGCCAAGGGUUGGUAAGUAUGGUUUUAAACUGUUCUGCCUUAACAGUCAUUUAGAUUUUAGCUUAUGCCUAGAAGUGCCAAGGGUUGGUAAGUAUGGUUAUAAACUGUUAUGCCUUAACAGUCAUUUAUUUGAAGUGUGUAUUAUAAUCACAACAGUCAUUUAUUAAAAGUGUUCCUUAUAAAAGUGCUCUAUGACCCUGACAUAUGCCUCAGAUAAUGAUGUGCCUUUCAUAAACAGAUGUGCAGGUGCUAGUCAGAGAUGUGAACAACAGGACGAGGGAGGAAGAUCACUCUGUCCUGAGAAGAUGGGGAGGUGUAAAGGGGGGGUUUGCAUGCCCAGCAGUCUGCCCAGUGGGAACUCAGUGAAAGCUUGGAAUACAUGACGCAAAUAUGAUAAAAGGAGACAAGCGCUGGAUGCAUCCAAGGUCAACUGCCC
Non-coding RNA from Xyrichtys novacula (pearly razorfish), 655 nucleotides. Lineage: Eukaryota; Metazoa; Chordata; Actinopteri; Labriformes; Labridae. The record is from the annotation of a GenBank genome assembly.